This is a long non-coding RNA of Scatophagus argus, 1692 nucleotides long. RefSeq lists it as uncharacterized. The transcript is spliced from 5 exons. The record is from RefSeq and is a predicted model, not a curated record. NCBI's taxonomy places the organism in Eukaryota, Metazoa, Chordata, Actinopteri, Scatophagidae.
UCUCUCCUUUGUGAUGAUUGAUAUUUAAUAAACCUCAUUAGUGUAUGUCCUCAAAAUGUCUCUAACAGUUUGGACUAUGUGGACAAAGGGUCUUACAAAUUAUGAUCACUCAGUCCUUUGCACAUCAGCCACAGCCAACGAUCUCGUUCUGCUCUUAUUGGCCACAAACCUUAUUAUCACGCAGCUCCCUGAGAGUAUUCAAAUAACCCCACAACAGCCAAAAAGACAACCGUCCUGGCCACGUCAGAAGUCUCUGUUACGUGAGGCCAGUCAGAGGAGGCAGGUCACAUCACAUGCCAGCAUUUCUCCCUCAGCGUUGUUCAACAGAGAGCGCUUUUUUAGAAAAUUCUCCCUAUUUAUUUUUUUAAACUUUGACAGCCUCUCAGGCGACGUCCUCGGUCUUAUUUUAUUUACAAAUUCAACUUAUUUAACUUGGAACAUUUUGCAACCAUCCACACUCCACCUAAUGUUUAUCUCCCUGAGUUUUGACACAAGAGAUGUCCUUGUGUCUGAGCACAGAUUAGUUUUAUUCGUUGCUGUUUUUGCACCCAACCAGCUCUCGUCACAUCAGCGUCCUUGCAACCAGGCUUUGAGUGCAGCUGCCAGCAGCUGCGUGAAUGAAUGCGAGACCUGUUCAGCGUUAACACCAAUCCACAGCAAAGCUCACCACGCGCAACGAGAGGGGAGGCAUCGGAAACCAGUCUGCUGCUUAUACAGCCUGUUUACUCGAAUAUCACUCAGAAGUUAAAGACAGCAGAUAAACAGGCCUUGUCACAGCUCCAGCCACACCAGCCUGUACACUUACAGAGGGGGUUGACUGCAUCAUUGAAGCAACUUUGUCAUGCUGCCAGGCUGCAGCCACACGGAGCCUCAUUCAUCCACCGUCACCGCGUCAAACUCCACAUCGACAGACAACGUUCUCGUGUUGUCGUCUCGAAGUGUCGCCCUUGGAAGCCAUCAGCAGCCACAGAGGUUGGAACGAAGGGAAGAAGACACUCAUUUGCAUAGUUGCUGCUGAUAUGACAUGUUCUACAGUCCCACGUUGCCAUCCAAGGAGCCACAGUGCCAGAACGGCUACAACCAAAACUACAUAUUUGUGAGCUGUUUUAAAGAUGUCUUAUGUUCGCUGUGGACGGACUCGCGGCUGAGAGCUACAGUCUGCAUAUUUCAACUUUGAAACUGCCUCCUCCUACAGCCAUAUUGGUACAUUUUGGACGUGUCCACUGGGAGACGGCAGGCACAAAUCCAGGCCAUCGUCUUGAUCUAAGCCCUCUCUUAUCAAAACUCCCAGAGGGGAAGCGAUUGAGUGGCACCAUCUGUCCGCUCAACGCCGUCACCCACGGCGACCCAAACUCUGAUGAGCUGAAAGUGGGAGAGAGUGUUGCUGGCAUCCAGACGAGGACUUGGUAAAUGUGUGUAAAUGAGUGUGCGUGCGCCUACUUGAGAGACUUUGUAUAGUUUUGAUAAGCUAUGAGUCACCCUGCAAGGCACAGAGAGACCUGCAGACAGAGUUUACUCAAGAUCCACAGUGAGUCAGCAGCACUCCUUGCUCCUUAGGACGAACUCCAACACUGUUACAAAAACUUCUGUUUCUUGCUUGCAUUCCACAAAUACACACUUAGUCCAGCUCGUGUUUUAUGGGCCUUAAACGACAGAAACAAAAACAGCUAAACUAACACUUGCAUGCUGCAG